This 437-nucleotide ribosomal RNA is filed under the name uncultured Clostridium sp. RNAcentral's name for it is "partial 16S ribosomal RNA". It matches the Rfam family "Bacterial small subunit ribosomal RNA", at positions 341 to 792 of the family's 1533-position model. Lineage: Bacteria; Bacillati; Bacillota; Clostridia; Eubacteriales; Clostridiaceae. The record is from RNAcentral.
ACGGAAGGCAGCAGUGGGGGAUAUUGCGCAAUGGGGGCAACCCUGACGCAGCAACGCCGCGUGAUGGAAGAAGGUCUUCGGAUUGUAAACAUCUGUUGCAAGGGAAGAAAAAAAUGACGGUACCUUGUGAGGAAGCCACGGCUAACUACGUGCCAGCAGCCGCGGUAAUACGUAGGUGGCGAGCGUUGUCCGGAUUUACUGGGUGUAAAGGGCGCGUAGGCGGGACAGCAAGUCAGUCGUGAAAUACCGAGGCUUAACUUCGGGGCUGCGAUUGAGACUGUUGUUCUUGAGUGUCGGAGAGGAAAGCGGAAUUCCUAGUGUAGCGGUGAAAUGCGUAGAUAUUAGGAGGAACACCGGUGGCGAAGGCGGCUUUCUGGACAGUAACUGACGCUGAGGCGCGAAAGCGUGGGGAGCAAACAGGAUUAGAUACCCUGGUA